Molecule: transfer RNA, 75 nt
Filed under: Nitrososphaerota archaeon
Lineage: Archaea; Thermoproteati; Nitrososphaerota
Description: Thaumarchaeota archaeon tRNA-Thr
Rfam family: tRNA
About the family: Transfer RNA (tRNA) molecules are approximately 80 nucleotides in length. Their secondary structure includes four short double-helical elements and three loops (D, anti-codon, and T loops).
Source: RNAcentral
GCCGGCGUAGCUCAGCGGUAGAGCAGCUGAUUCGUAAUCAGCAGGUCGGAGGUUCGAGUCCUCUCGCCGGCUCCA